CGAGUUGGGAUGGAGCUACGAAGCCUGG
This 28-nucleotide small RNA is filed under the name Bombyx mori (domestic silkworm). Its description in RNAcentral is "ovarian small RNA-14241". The record is from RNAcentral. Lineage: Eukaryota; Metazoa; Arthropoda; Insecta; Lepidoptera; Bombycidae.